GUGCUUCCUUGGGCAGCAUAUAUAUUAAAAUUGUGAGAAUACAGAGAAGAUUAGCAUGGCCCCCUGUGUAAGGAUGACAUGCAAAUUCAUGAAGCGUUCCAAAGGAAA
Molecule: small nuclear RNA, 108 nt
Organism: Cynocephalus volans (Philippine flying lemur)
Lineage: Eukaryota; Metazoa; Chordata; Mammalia; Dermoptera; Cynocephalidae
Source: RefSeq, a predicted model, not a curated record